ACUCUCCACCGACUGCGUCAGGAUGAGCUCCAGGUUUUCUUUGGGCCGAUGCUUCGUGUCCUCCACCAGCUUAUAGACGCGAUGUCGCCGGUGCAGGCGCGGCUUCCGGCCCUCCCCGGCCAGCGGUACCUUCCACCAGCGCUCCACGAUGACCGUGCCCUGGCGGCCAGGAAAGCGACGGUAAGCUAGUCUCCACAAGGAACACCCUCUCCCUCCACCACGGCCGCCAGCCCCUCAAGGAAAGCCCGCCACCCCCACAUCGGCCCCCUCCAGGUCCCAGUGCGCCUCCAGAAACAAUACUCGAGCGUAUCUACCCCCUACCCCAGACUCAGCCCUCACCCGAUUUUGAGAAAGGCUGAAGUUGCAGGCCAGGUCAGGGGCGUUCCCUUCAUGUCGCGGCCGCAGUAGCUCCUGGACGCCUCCCCGAAGCAGCCGUCCAGCGCCCGCCCGCAGCAGAGCUCUGCCCGGGGCCGUGACAACGGGCGCCGCCAUGUUCACAGGCACAGAAUGAGACCUGAGGGAGGACCCCGGCGUCGGCGGCAGGAAAGGCCCCCGCCAGUGCUGCCUGCGGCGCGCCGGUACGGCUGAGCGAAAGUAUGGGGAGCGGGCCGGGGAACAGAUGGCACCGCGGCUUGCCUAUUUUUGCUUUUUGGCAGAGGUGACGGACGCCUAGAAUUACUGACUGAUAAUGGAAUGAGUGUUAGGUGGACUGACGCCGGAAAAGACGCUCUUCCUCUUGAAAGUGUGGGCUUUGCUGUAGCUCCAGUUGCUGGGCUAACUUUUAAUUCUAACGUUCUGUGAUGACUGGAUACUGACCGGAGAAUGAAUGAUGCUCUCACUUUUCCUUACUUCAAAUCUACCUAAAAGUGGUAAAGGAUGGGAUCCCUUGGAAAACUCUGCCAGCUCCAGGAGGAGCCUGACCCUUAAUCAUUAUACUGCAGUAUUUAAGCUAAUAAAGGAGAAUUCUAAAUCACAAGCUAUGUAAACCGUAGAAAAAAAAGCAACUAUGGUAAGGCCGCGACAGUUCCCUCUGGGGAGGGUCUCAGUACUGGACAGAAGACCAUAAAAACUGGAUGAAAGAAGGUCCAUUUGGCAGAGAUUAUGGAAAGACUGGCCCUUAAACAUACUGACCAGUCCUCCUUCCUCCUAAAUACACUACUUGGCCUCCUGGACACCGGUCUUCUUCAGUCUCGUUUGCUGAUUUCUCCUUUUCUCCCCGCUUCUUAGAAUGCCCUCGGGACUCCGUUUUUGAACCUUUACUCUUCUCAGUAUACACUCACUGUUGAUCUCAUCCAGUCUCGUGGCUUACAAUACCAUUUAUAAGCCAAUGACUCCCAAAUUUCUAGUUCCAUCCUAGACAUCUCCCAAACUCGUCUCAAAUAUUCAACUGUUUAUUCGUCAUUUUCCUCUUACGUAUCCAAAGGACACCUCAAAGUUAACUGUCCCAAACUAAUUUAUUUAUUCCCCCCUCGCCCCCAAAACUGCCCCAUCUGCAGCCUUUUUCCUCUCAGUUGACAGAAACUCCAUUCUUUCCAUUCUAACUCUUUUCUCUCAUACUCCAUCAGGAAAUCCUGUGGGUUCUACCUUUAAAUUACAGAUAGUCCCUGACUUGGAUUUACAAUUUUUGAGUUUGUGAUGGUGUGAAAGUGAUGUGCACUCAGUAGGACAUCAAUAAGUUACAUGAAAUAUUCAACACUUUAUUAUAAAAUAGGCUUUGUGUUAGAUGAUUUUACCCAACUGUCGGAUAAGUUGUCUGAGCAUGUUUAAGAUAGGCUAGGCUAAGCUAUGGUGUUUGGUAGGUGUAUUAUAUGCAUUUUCAACUUAUGAUACUUUCAACAUACGAUGGGUUUAUCAGGACAUAACCCUAUUUUAAGUCAAGGAGCACUUGUAUUUCCAGAAUCCAGCCACUUGUCACCACCUCCAAUGCUCUACCUUGGAAUAAGACACUACUUUCUCCUGGAUUACUGCAAUAGUCCCCUAAAAGAUAUCCCUUAAUUCUCUACAGUUUAUAAUUCUAUGUAGCUUAUUUAUAGCAGCCAGAAUGAUCUUUUUAAAGCAUAAGUCAGAUCAUGUCAUUCUUCCACCCAAAACUUUGUAAUGACUUCCUCCUUUACUCAAGGUAAAAGAAAAAGGCCAUCAGAUGGUCUACAAGGCCAUACAUACUCUGACCCCAUUAGCUCCUCUCUAAUUUACACUGCUCCACCCACAGUGGCCUCCUUGUUUCUUGAAAACACCAGGCACGUUUCCUGCUCAGGGCUUUUGCACUGGCUGCUUUUGCGUUGGAUGCUCUUAUCCUCAGAUGCUGGCUUGGUUAACAACCUCACAUCCUCCAAGUGUUUAAUUAAAUGUCAGUUUUUUUCAGUGAGAGAUCACCCUAUUUCUUACUGUAACCCUGACCCAUCCCCUUCACAUUCCUUAUCUUCCUUUAUCUUGCUCUAUUCCCCCCACCCCAUAGCAGUUACCUUCUAACAUACUAAACAAUUUACUAUGUUUAUUUUCUAGGUUUGUCCUCUCACUUUUAGAAGAUACGUUCCAUAGGGCAGGGAUUUGUUUUGUUCACUGAUGUAUCAUCUCAAGCACCUAGAAUAGUGCCUGGCUAAUAGUAGACCCUCAAUAAAUAUUUGUUGAAUGGAUAAAUAUGCAGAGGUCUCAAAGUGGCAGUCCCAGAACCAAAUUUUGCUUACAAUGUUGUUUUUUUAUCAACAAUUUUUUAGUAGUUGAUUUUUUUUUUUUUUUGAGUUGGAGUCUCGCUAUGUUGCCCAGUAGUCGAUAUUUUUUAAAAUUGGUGAGAUUUACUACAAAACUGUCUUUCCAGUUUCUGUUCAAAAAUCAUACGAUACAGCACCAUCAAGUCUGCAUUCUUGCAUGGAACUGGAUGGAAUUGAGUUGUGUGGACUUCCUUUAGAUAACGUGUGAGCUUUCCUAUUUUGCUACAGCCCUACCCUGCCACUCCACUAAUUUCCAUAAGCUGUCUAGGCCCCUGAAGGGGCCUAGACAAUUAGUUUGCAAUUCCUACCCUACAAGGAUCCUGGGUUAUUAAGGGUAGGGAUGAUAAUAAAAAUACUCAACUGGUAUGAACUGGGAACCAACUAAUCAGGUCACCACUGGAUCAGAGCCUUGGAAGAGUCAGAUACCAACUCUUUAC
This 3145-nucleotide long non-coding RNA is filed under the name Homo sapiens (human). RNAcentral describes it as "HSALNT0295739". Lineage: Eukaryota; Metazoa; Chordata; Mammalia; Primates; Hominidae. The record is from RNAcentral.